ACAGCAGUACCAGAACCUCUGCUGGCUCCCUGUCUUUCUGGACAAGAGGGUAAAGAAGAGCAAGUGGACGAUGAACCCGUGGCUGUUGUUGGAGCUGCAGAGCCUGAAGAAAUUAAAUCAGGCACAAACGUGACACCAGAACCUCUGCUGGCUCCCUCUCUUUCCGGACAAGAGGGUAAAGAAGAGCAAGUGGACAAUGAACCCGUGGCUGUUGUUGGAGCCACAGAGCCUGAAGAAAUUAAAUCAGGCACAACAGCAGCACCAGAACCUCUGCUGGCUCCCUGUCUUUCUGGACAAGAGGGUAAAGAAGAGCAAGUGGACGAUGAACCCGUGGCUGUUGUUGGAGCUGCAGAGCCUGAAGAAAUUAAAUCAGUAAGUGCCAGACUACAUU
Long non-coding RNA from Manacus vitellinus (golden-collared manakin), 391 nucleotides. RefSeq lists it as uncharacterized. The transcript is spliced from 3 exons. The record is from RefSeq and is a predicted model, not a curated record. Lineage: Eukaryota; Metazoa; Chordata; Aves; Passeriformes; Pipridae.